UACGUAGGGUGCAAGCGUUGUCCGGAAUUAUUGGGCGUAAAGAGCUCGUAGGCGGUCUGUUGCGUCGGCUGUGAAAACCCGGGGCUAAACUCCGGGCCUGCAGCCGAUACGGGCAGACUAGAGUUCGGCAGGGGAGACUGGAAUUCCUGGUGUAGCGGUGAAAUGCGCAGAUAUCAGGAGGAACACCGGUGGCGAAGGCGGCAUCCUGGACCGGAAUUGACGCUGAGGCGCGAAAGCGUGGGGAGCAAACAGG
RNAcentral lists this ribosomal RNA (253 nucleotides) under uncultured bacterium. RNAcentral describes it as "partial 16S ribosomal RNA". It matches the Rfam family "Bacterial small subunit ribosomal RNA", at positions 524 to 776 of the family's 1533-position model. The record is from RNAcentral.